CUCAGGACGAACGCUGGCGGCGUGCCUAACACAUGCAAGUCGAACGGAGUGAUCAUAGCUUGCUAAGAUCACUUAGUGGCGGACGGGUGAGUAACGCGUGGGGAACCUGCCUUCAGAGGGGGAUAACGUUCUGAAAAGAACGCUAAUACCGCAUAACGUAUGUUUAUCGCAUGGUAGAUAUACCAAAGGAGCAAUCCGCUGAAAGAUGGCCCCGCGUCCGAUUAGAUAGUUGGUGAGGCAACGGCUCACCAAGUCGACGAUCGGUAGCCGGACUGAGAGGUUGAACGGCCACAUUGGGACUGAGACACGGCCCAGACUCCUACGGGAGGCAGCAGUGGGGGAUAUUGCACAAUGGGGGAAACCCUGAUGCAGCAACGCCGCGUGAGGGAAGAAGGUUUUCGGAUUGUAAACCUCUGUCCUUGGUGAAGAUAAUGACGGUAGCCGAGGAGGAAGCUCCGGCUAACUACGUGCCAGCAGCUGC
Molecule: ribosomal RNA, 481 nt
Filed under: uncultured bacterium
Lineage: Bacteria
Description: bacterial SSU rRNA
Rfam family: Bacterial small subunit ribosomal RNA
Source: RNAcentral